AGAGUUUGAUCCUGGCUCAGGACGAACGCUGGCGGCGCGCCUAACACACGCAAGUCGAACGAGCGAGAGGAGGUUUACUUUCUCAAGCGAGUGGCGAACGGGUGAGUAACGCGUGAGGAACCUGCCUCAAAGAGGGGGACAACAGUUGGAAACGACUGCUAAUACCGCAUAAGCCCACGACCCGGCAUCGGGUAGAGGGAAAAGGAGCAAUCCGCUUUGAGAUGGCCUCGCGUCCGAUUAGCUAGUUGGUGAGGUAAUGGCCCACCAAGGCGACGAUCGGUAGCCGGACUGAGAGGUUGAACGGCCACAUUGGGACUGAGACACGGCCCAGACUCCUACGGGAGGCAGCAGUGGGGAAUAUUGCACAAUGGGGGAAACCCUGAUGCAGCGACGCCGCGUGGAGGAAGAAGGUCUUCGGAUUGUAAACUCCUGUUGUUGAGGAAGAUAAUGACGGUACUCAACAAGGAAGUGACGGCUAACUACGUGCCAGCAGCCGCGGUAAAACGUAGGUCACAAGCGUUGUCCGGAAUUACUGGGUGUAAAGGGAGCGCAGGCGGGAAGACAAGUUGGAAGUGAAAUCCAUGGGCUCAACCCAUGAACUGCUUUCAAAACUGUUUUUCUUGAGUAGUGCAGAGGUAGGCGGAAUUCCCGGUGUAGCGGUGGAAUGCGUAGAUAUCGGGAGGAACACCAGUGGCGAAGGCGGCCUACUGGGCACCAACUGACGCUGAGGCUCGAAAGUGUGGGUAGCAAACAGGAUUAGAUACCCUGGUAGUCCACACUGUAAACGAUGAUUACUAGGUGUUGGAGGAUUGACCCCUUCAGUGCCGCAGUUAACACAAUAAGUAAUCCACCUGGGGAGUACGACCGCAAGGUUGAAACUCAAAGGAAUUGACGGGGGCCCGCACAAGCAGUGGAGUAUGUGGUUUAAUUCGACGCAACGCGAAGAACCUUACCAAGUCUUGACAUCCUUCUGACCGGUACUUAACCGUACUUUCUCUUCGGAGCAGGAGUGACAGGUGGUGCAUGGUUGUCGUCAGCUCGUGUCGUGAGAUGUUGGGUUAAGUCCCGCAACGAGCGCAACCCUUAUCUUUAGUAGCCAGCGGUCCGGCCGGGCACUCUAGAGAGACUGCCAGGGAUAACCUGGAGGAAGGCGGGGAUGACGUCAAAUCAUCAUGCCCCUUAUGACUUGGGCUACACACGUGCUACAAUGGCGUAAACAAAGGGAAGCAAAGCUGUGAAGCCGAGCAAAUCUCAAAAAUAACGUCUCAGUUCGGACUGUAGUCUGCAACCCGACUACACGAAGCUGGAAUCGCUAGUAAUCGCAGAUCAGAAUGCUGCGGUGAAUACGUUCCCGGGUCUUGUACACACCGCCCGUCA
RNAcentral lists this ribosomal RNA (1377 nucleotides) under uncultured bacterium. RNAcentral describes it as "bacterial SSU rRNA". It matches the Rfam family "Bacterial small subunit ribosomal RNA". The record is from RNAcentral.